RNAcentral lists this ribosomal RNA (497 nucleotides) under uncultured bacterium. RNAcentral describes it as "partial 16S ribosomal RNA". It matches the Rfam family "Bacterial small subunit ribosomal RNA", at positions 28 to 507 of the family's 1533-position model. The record is from RNAcentral.
GAUGAACGCUGGCGGCGUGCCUAAUACAUGCAAGUCGAGCGAACAGACGAGGAGCUUGCUCCUCUGGCGUUAGCGGCGGACGGGUGGGUAACACGUGGAUAACCUACCUAUAAGACUGGGAUAACUUCGGGAAACCGGAGCUAAUACCGGAUAAUAUAUUGAACCGCAUGGUUCAAUAGUGAAAGACGGUUUUGCUGUCACUUAUAGAUGGAUCCGCGCCGCAUUAGCUAGUUGGUAAGGUAACGGCUUACCAAGGCAACGAUGCGUAGCCGACCUGAGAGGGUGAUCGGCCACACUGGAACUGAGACACGGUCCAGACUCCUACGGGAGGCAGCAGUAGGGAAUCUUCCGCAAUGGGCGAAAGCCUGACGGAGCAACGCCGCGUGAGUGAUGAAGGUCUUCGGAUCGUAAAACUCUGUUAUUAGGGAAGAACAAAUGUGUAUGUAACUAUGCACGUCUUGACGGUACCUAAUCAGAAAGCCACGGCUAACUACGUG